This 500-nucleotide ribosomal RNA is filed under the name Botrytis cinerea. Its description in RNAcentral is "eukaryotic LSU rRNA". The stretch from base 131 to 284 matches the Rfam family "5.8S ribosomal RNA". The record is from RNAcentral. Lineage: Eukaryota; Fungi; Ascomycota; Leotiomycetes; Helotiales; Sclerotiniaceae.
AGGGUAGACCUCCCACCCUUGUGUAUUAUUACUUUGUUGCUUUGGCGAGCUGCCUUCGGGCCUUGUAUGCUCGCCAGAGAAUACCAAAACUCUUUUUAUUAAUGUCGUCUGAGUACUAUAUAAUAGUUAAAACUUUCAACAACGGAUCUCUUGGUUCUGGCAUCGAUGAAGAACGCAGCGAAAUGCGAUAAGUAAUGUGAAUUGCAGAAUUCAGUGAAUCAUCGAAUCUUUGAACGCACAUUGCGCCCCUUGGUAUUCCGGGGGGCAUGCCUGUUCGAGCGUCAUUUCAACCCUCAAGCUUAGCUUGGUAUUGAGUCUAUGUCAGUAAUGGCAGGCUCUAAAAUCAGUGGCGGCGCCGCUGGGUCCUGAACGUAGUAAUAUCUCUCGUUACAGGUUCUCGGUGUGCUUCUGCCAAAACCCAAAUUUUUCUAUGGUUGACCUCGGAUCAGGUAGGGAUACCCGGGUCCCUGAACUUAAGCAUAUCAAUAAGCGGAGGAAAG